This 253-nucleotide ribosomal RNA is filed under the name uncultured bacterium. RNAcentral's name for it is "partial 16S ribosomal RNA". It matches the Rfam family "Bacterial small subunit ribosomal RNA", at positions 524 to 776 of the family's 1533-position model. The record is from RNAcentral.
UACAGAGGGUGCAAACGUUGCUCGGAAUCAUUGGGCGUAAAGCGCGUGUAGGCGGCUCGUUAAGUCGGUUGUGAAAACCCAUGGCUCAACCAUGGAAGGGCGUCCGAAACUGGCGAGCUAGAGUCCCGACGAGGAUGGCGGAAUUCCCAGUGUAGAGGUGAAAUUCGUAGAUAUUGGGAGGAACACCGGUGGCGAAGGCGGCCAUCUGGGAGGGCACUGACACUGAGACGCGAAAGCGUGGGGAGCAAACAGG